CCAAAAGCUGGCGACCGGCGCACGGGUGAGUAACACGUAUCCAACCUGCCUCAUACUCGGGGAUAGCCUUUCGAGAGAAAGAUUAAUAUCCGAUAGCAUAUAUUUCCCGCAUGGGUUUUAUAUUAAAGAAAUUCGGUAUGAGAUGGGGAUGCGUUCCAUUAGUUUGUUGGGGGGUAACGGCCCACCAAGACUACGAUGGAUAGGGGUUCUGAGAGGAAGGUCCCCCACAUUGGAACUGAGACACGGUCCAA
Molecule: ribosomal RNA, 251 nt
Filed under: uncultured bacterium
Lineage: Bacteria
Description: partial 16S ribosomal RNA
Rfam family: Bacterial small subunit ribosomal RNA
Source: RNAcentral